GGGCAGUCAUCGCCGAGUCCCCAUGGCGCGAGCCAGGGGAGCCGGGGACCCUCCUUUCCGCACCUCACCGGUGCGGGACGGGCCGCCCCACACCGCCGACGGCGGUACGGGAACGGUCCGGUCCCUUGGGGUGAAUCGGGCGCCUCCCCCGAGGGGCCCGUAGGAGACCUUCCUGCUCCGAACCCGUCAGCUAACCCGGUAGGCGAGAAGGAAGGAAAG
Molecule: small RNA, 219 nt
Filed under: Streptomyces fradiae
Lineage: Bacteria; Bacillati; Actinomycetota; Actinomycetes; Kitasatosporales; Streptomycetaceae
Also listed under: 1 other name
Description: c-di-AMP sequence
Rfam family: c-di-AMP riboswitch aptamer (ydaO/yuaA leader)
About the family: This family represents a conserved RNA structure found upstream of the ydaO and yuaA genes in Bacillus subtilis and related genes in other bacteria.
Source: RNAcentral